This 448-nucleotide ribosomal RNA is filed under the name uncultured bacterium. RNAcentral describes it as "bacterial SSU rRNA". It matches the Rfam family "Bacterial small subunit ribosomal RNA", at positions 355 to 825 of the family's 1533-position model. The record is from RNAcentral.
UGGGGAAUCUUGGACAAUGGGCGCAAGCCUGAUCCAGCCAUGCCGCGUGAGUGAUGAAGGCCUUAGGGUUGUAAAGCUCUUUUGCCGGGGACGAUAAUGACGGUACCCGGAGAAUAAGUCCCGGCUAACUUCGUGCCAGCAGCCGCGGUAAUACGAAGGGGACUAGCGUUGUUCGGAAUCACUGGGCGUAAAGCGCACGUAGGCGGAUUUGUAAGUCAGGGGUGAAAUCCCGGGGCUCAACCUCGGAACUGCCUUUGAUACUGCGGAUCUCGAGUCCGAUAGAGGUGAGUGGAAUUCCUAGUGUAGAGGUGAAAUUCGUAGAUAUUAGGAAGAACACCAGUGGCGAAGGCGGCUAACUGGUCCGGUACUGACGCUGAGGUGCGAAAGCGUGGGGAGCAAACAGGAUUAGAUACCCUAGUAGUCCCCUGAGCGGGCUGGCAAGGCGCAU